GAUUAACGCUGGCGGCGUGCAUAACACAUGCAAGUCGAACGAUGAAACUUAACUGAUUUCUUCGGAAUGAUUUUAAGUGGAUUAGUGGCGGACGGGUGAGUAACGCGUGAGUAACCUGCCUUGGAGAAGGGGAUAGCCUUUGGAAACGAAGAAUAAUACCCUAUGAUAUGAUAAUAUCUCAUGAUAUUAUCAUCAAAGAUUUAUCGCUCUAAGAUGGACUUGCGUCUGAUUAGUUAGUUGGUGAGGUAACAGCUCACCAAGGCAGCGAUCAGUAGCCGGCUUGAGAGAGUGUACGGCCACAAUGGGACUGAGACACGGCCCAGACUCCUACGGGAGGCAGCAGUGGGGAAUUUUGCACAAUGGGGGAAACCCUGAUGCAGCGACGCCGCGUGAUUUAGAAGGCCUUCGGGUUGUAAAAAUCUUUUGUAUGGGAAGAAAAUGACAGUACCAUACGAAUAAGGACCGGCUAAUUACGUG
Molecule: ribosomal RNA, 477 nt
Filed under: uncultured bacterium
Lineage: Bacteria
Description: partial 16S ribosomal RNA
Rfam family: Bacterial small subunit ribosomal RNA
Source: RNAcentral